Non-coding RNA from Myotis davidii, 74 nucleotides. Lineage: Eukaryota; Metazoa; Chordata; Mammalia; Chiroptera; Vespertilionidae. The record is from Rfam.
GGUGGUUCUCGGGUGAUGCACCCUGGAAUCGGGCUCCCUCUCUCUGGUUCCAGGUAUGUCACCUGAGAACUGCA